Molecule: ribosomal RNA, 497 nt
Filed under: uncultured bacterium
Lineage: Bacteria
Description: partial 16S ribosomal RNA
Rfam family: Bacterial small subunit ribosomal RNA
Source: RNAcentral
GAUGAACGCUGGCGGCGUGCCUAAUACAUGCAAGUCGAGCGAACGGACGAGAAGCUUGCUUCUCUGAUGUUAGCGGCGGACGGGUGAGUAACACGUGGAUAACCUACCUAUAAGACUGGGAUAACUUCGGGAAACCGGAGCUAAUACCGGAUAAUAUUUUGAACCGCACGGUUCAAAAGUGAAAGACGGUCUUGCUGUCACUUAUAGAUGGAUCCGCGCUGCAUUAGCUAGUUGGUAAGGUAACGGCUUACCAAGGCAACGAUGCAUAGCCGACCUGAGAGGGUGAUCGGCCACACUGGAACUGAGACACGGUCCAGACUCCUACGUGAGGCAGCAGUAGGGAAUCUUCCGCAAUGGGCGAAAGCCUGACGGAGCAACGCCGCGUGAGUGAUGAAGGUCUUCGGAUCGUAAAACUCUGUUAUUAGGGAAGAACAUAUGUGUAAGUAACUGUGCACAUCUUGACGGUACCUAAUCAGAAAGCCACGGCUAACUACGUG